CAGGUCACGACCCCCAGGAGACCUGGAGGACUGAAUGCUGCUGCCCCCAAGGAGGAGGCUGCCGUCUUAUCCCAGGAGGGAGAGCAGGUGAAGUCCCCAGGGGAGGAAGCACCUAGCCCCAUUCCUGCUGAGCAGGAGGUGGCAGGUACCCCAGACUGGGAGGUAAGGACAGCCCGGGGCUUCGACUGAACGUCUCCAGCGUGGGUCCAACUGAGCAGCCAUGGAGCACUGCAGAGUGGGAGGCAGCAGGGCAGGGAGGCAGUGCUGGAGGCUGGCUCAACCCCAAGACCAGCAGGCCAAGCUGCCAUCCCAGGGGAGCGAGGACGUCUGUGCAGAGCUGAGAGGCAGCAGCCAUGUGUGAACAGACUGGGCCUCAUCCUGGCCCCACCGACUUUGUGUGGACAGAGCCUGUUUCCCUGUCUGUGCAACACAGAACCUGCCUGAUCUCACUGCUGGAUCCCUCUUCUUCCUGCCAGGAAAAUAAAAAGGUUCAAAAGGAAGUUGCUGCGUAUCCAUCUGAGGCCUCUGAGGACAGCAAAGAGCAAAGGCCCUGGGACCGGGUCUACGUGCCCAUGACAGAGCUCUGGCUGGACUGGUUCUGAGCCUCUAACACCCCCAAGACUCAGAACCGUGAAGAAAAUCUUUCCAAUAAAUCCAAGAGUUGCUGCUGCUAUAGGCCAGGCUGCCACCUUUCGGGGCCUCCGUCUUCAGACAAACCCAGCCUGGCUUCAUCCACACUCCCUGUCCCCACAGCUGCAGGAACAGCACUUCCUGCCACCGAGCCGUGUGACCACAGUGGAUUGUCUCUGGAGGGGCCCAAGGGGGCCCUGGCCACCCUUCUGACUGACUCGGUGCCAGGGGACAGACCAACGUCCCUCUCGUGCUGACAGCCGGGCCGCACCCUGGCAUGAGGGCAUUUACAGAAAUGCUGGCGGAACUGCUGCCAGGGAGGCUGUAGGGUCCUCUGGCAAAAGAGGCCUCAGGUGGCUCCUCA
RNAcentral lists this long non-coding RNA (994 nucleotides) under Homo sapiens (human). RNAcentral's name for it is "HSALNT0278338". The record is from RNAcentral. Lineage: Eukaryota; Metazoa; Chordata; Mammalia; Primates; Hominidae.